Molecule: ribosomal RNA, 754 nt
Filed under: uncultured bacterium
Lineage: Bacteria
Description: bacterial SSU rRNA
Rfam family: Bacterial small subunit ribosomal RNA
Source: RNAcentral
UGACUNGAGUGCAGAAGGGGAGAGUGGAAUUCCAUGUGUAGCGGUGAAAUGCGUAGAUAUAUGGAGGAACACCAGUGGCGAAAGCGGCUCUCUGGUCUGUCACUGACGCUGAGGCUCGAAAGCGUGGGUAGCGAACAGGAUUAGAUACCCUGGUAGUCCACGCCGUAAACGAUGAGUGCUAGGUGUUAGGCCCUUUCCGGGGCUUAGUGCCGGAGCUAACGCAAUAAGCACUCCGCCUGGGGAGUACGACCGCAAGGUUGAAACUCAAAGGAAUUGACGGGGGCCCGCACAAGCGGUGGAGCAUGUGGUUUAAUUCGAAGCAACGCGAAGAACCUUACCAGGUCUUGACAUCCCGAUGCUAUUCUUAGAGAUAGGAAGUUACUUCGGUACAUCGGAGACAGGUGGUGCAUGGUUGUCGUCAGCUCGUGUCGUGAGAUGUUGGGUUAAGUCCCGCAACGAGCGCAACCCUUAUUGUUAGUUGCCAUCAUUAAGUUGGGCACUCUAGCGAGACUGCCGGUAAUAAACCGGAGGAAGGUGGGGAUGACGUCAAAUCAUCAUGCCCCUUAUGACCUGGGCUACACACGUGCUACAAUGGUCGGUACAACGAGUUGCGAGCCGGUGACGGCAAGCUAAUCUCUGAAAGCCGAUCUCAGUUCGGAUUGGAGGCUGCAACUCGCCUCCAUGAAGUCGGAAUCGCUAGUAAUCGCGGAUCAGCACGCCGCGGUGAAUACGUUCCCGGGCCUUGUACACACCG